CAGUAGCCGCGGGAAUACGGAGGGAGCUAGCGUUGUUCGGAAUUACUGGGCGUAAAGCGUGCGUAGGCGGCUUCUUAAGUCGGAUGUGAAAUCACUGAGCUUAACUUAGGAAUUGCAUUCGAUACUGGGAAGCUAGAGUAUGGGAGAGGAUGGUAGAAUUCCAGGUGUAGCGGUGAAAUGCGUAGAGAUCUGGAGGAAUACCGAUGGCGAAGGCAGCCAUCUGGCCUAAUACUGACGCUGAGGUACGAAAGCAUGGGGAGCAAACAGGAUUAGAGACCCGUGUAGUCCCUGUCUCUUAUAA
Molecule: ribosomal RNA, 301 nt
Filed under: uncultured bacterium
Lineage: Bacteria
Description: partial 16S ribosomal RNA
Rfam family: Bacterial small subunit ribosomal RNA
Source: RNAcentral